UAUUUAGUUGUUCGGAAUUUGUUAUAUAAUGAUGUUUCCAACUUUGGACGUGCGUUUUAAUUUUUGGAGUUUGACUCGUUGUUGCGUUCAACUCGGUUCAACUUAAAUGUUACGCUUGAUAGAUUGAGAUAUUAUUGCGGAUGUAAAUGACGAGUCUUAUUUGUGUUUGUAUAAUAUAUCCCUGUCGAAAGAAGAUAGAUUUCGUGAUUAGAAUUUUUAAAUGUCAUGCAGUCUAAUGUCAGCAUGACGGUCUGAUAUUAUUUCGUAUUAUUUGUUUUCUAAGUGGCUAUUAUGGACAUUGGACAAUAAUCUACCGUUUAUUGAAACGGAGUUUACCCUGCGGACUGGUCUGAUUUGGUUUAUUACUCAUCGAUCGCGUUUUACUGGACGUGAAGGAAAAUUAUUGGCGUAGCAAUCGUUUAUUAACUGUUAAUUUUAAUUGGUUACUGGCAGGGAAUUAUACACGUUGAUGAAUCAAGUGUCCAACGUUCUCAAGUCUCAAGGAGUGGGAAAAAAAGGUGAUCCAGUGGCAAUUGAUGUCCCACCAAUUUAUGUCCACUUGCUGUCGCCUCAAUGCUCGCUUGCUGUGCCCAUGUCGGAGCCGUCCAUUCCGUAGUCUUUACCGGAUUCAGUGCGGAAGCGAUGGCCAAUCGCAUCAACGACGCUGAAGCUACGGUAGUUAUUACUGCUGGCCAAGGGGUCCAAGGUGGCAAAUUAAUUGAAUUGAAGAAAUGAACAACAGUUGAAAAAUGUCCGACUGUUAAAACUAUUCUCGAAGCAAAAAGAAUCUUGUUGAUUCAUCGCUUCUUGAUGUCGAUCUUAAUGAGAGAGGGGCGAAUGUGAACCGGCCGUUUUGGACAGCGAAGAUUUCUUGUUUAUGCUCUACACAUCCGGCAGCACGGGAAACCCUGACGGGAUUGUUCAUUCCCAAGCUGGCUGUCUUCUCUAUGCGUCGUUGAUGCAUAGUUUAAAAUAGUUUCCGAUUGCAAAGAAGGAGGAUCUCAAAUGCUGACGUAAUUAAUUCUCGUUUUCCCAACAGGUCGAUAUUGGAAGGCUGCCCAGCGUCUAAAAAUCAACCAAUUGUAUGCAGCUCCUACCGCUAUUCGAUUAUUAUUGAAAUACGACGAAAAACAUGUUGAAAAAUAUGAUCUCAGCUCUCUGCAUUCUGGGUUCUGUGGGUUAACCCAUCAACGUGGAGGCAUGGCACUGGUACAACAAAGUUGAACGACGCAAAGAGAAAUGCGCCGUUGUGGACACUUGGUGCUGGCAAUCGGAAACGGGAGGCAUUUGCAUCAGUCUGCUGGUACCCUCGGCCAAUGGCUUAGAAAUUCAUCCCGGUAUGCUGAUGAGGCCGAUGUACUGAAUCUGGCCGGCUAUUCUGGGAGAGAAGGUAAUGUCUAAUAUUUAUUUGUUUUCCAAAUUCAUCCUAGCUGGAAAUCUUUUCUGUAAAGGGGGAGGAGUUGAAAGGCAAUGAUGUAGCUAACAGGUGCCUUAAUGUGCUUGAAAAAUCCUUGGCCUGGAAUGGCACGCACCAUUUAUGGAACAUAUUACAGCCGCUUCAUGGAAACUAAUAAUCGACCUUUUUAAAGUAAAAAAUUUCUAACACAUUUUCGUUAUAUUUCAGCGAAUAUUCCAACGAGUAAGACUGUAAGAGUAUGGGGGUUAAAAUAUUGGCUAGUAUUCAGUGCUCGGUAAACAUAACUGGGUAGUAGGUGAAGUGACUCCAAUAUUGUCAUCCAAACCGAAUUUUGAAAUU
RNAcentral lists this long non-coding RNA (1756 nucleotides) under Daphnia pulicaria. RNAcentral's name for it is "uncharacterized LOC124316643, transcript variant X1". The record is from RNAcentral. Lineage: Eukaryota; Metazoa; Arthropoda; Branchiopoda; Diplostraca; Daphniidae.